UUGUAUUGUGGCAUUGAGAAUUUGAGAUCUAGUUUUUUUUUUUUUUUGUGUGUGUGUGACUAUGGAGACACUUGUUGUUGUUGACCAGCAUAAGAAUCAAUACUGUAGCAGAUCUAAGUCACAAGGCCAUGGUAGAUUUGGAUCUUCACCUUCAAAACAAUUUAGAGGGAUUAACUGUAGGACUUUUCAAUCUGAUUCAGGUAUAUUACCAACUCCUUUGAAAUCUCAGAGUUUUCAUGAAACUAAAACACCAACAUCUCCUGUUACUGAAAACCCUAAUAGGAAAAAAACUAGUCCUAAGAGCUCCCCGAUUCCGAUUAAUGGUAAAACUUGUAGAAAAGAGACAACUUUCAGUGGAGAUUUAUGCUGUGGAAGCUUUUUGCUAUCUGAGUUAUGGGCUGGACCUACAUAUUCAAAUUCGCCACCACCUAGUUCUCUGCCGAUUCCUAAGUUUUCUGUGAGACCGAAGAGGACUGUGUCUCUUGAUCUUCCUGAUUCCUCUCCUGAGAUUGAAUUGCGCCCGAUGGCUAAGUCUGCACCCUCUUCUCCGACCAGGGAGCGAUUGUGUUUUACAAGGGAUCUCUUUGUGAAUGCUGAUUCUGCUACUGAGACCCUUCGUCGGAUUCUCAAUCUCGACAUCAAUGAUGAAUGAAACUUAAGGAGCAAUGCACUCCUGUAAAUAAGUGUUUUCAAUGAAAGUAGGUUUGUGUUAUGUUAGAUGUAUAUAAAGGUUCUGUAGAAUUUGUAGUGUGAGUUGGUUUGAGUUUGUGUAGCUUUUAGUUGUGGCAAUUAUGCACUUGAUGAUUUUGGCUUUAGUGGGUCGACAAUCUCUAGAUUUUGGAAAUGGAUCAAGGUUGGCAGUGGAGAGGGUUAUUGGGUUUGUGCCGGAGGAAUUGGUUGAAAGCAGGCUUUGGUAUGGGUCUUGAGACUUGACGGAAGCUUCCAUGAAAAUGAUUAUGAAGCAAAUUGAUGGUAAUGGUAGGAGUGUGUGGAAUUGACUUGGGUUGACGGUGGUUAUGGGACCUGAAGAAGGUCUGGUAUGGGUCUUGAGAGUUGAUGGAAGCUUCCAUGAAAAUGAUUCGGAAGCAGGGCGAUGGUAACAGUAGGAGUAGCAUGGAACUGACUUGGGUUGACGGCGUCUAUUAGACCUGAAGAAGGUUACAUACAAGCUGAAUCCUGAACUUAUAAUAUAUUGUUAGCACUCAUCAUAAGCUUUUUUCUCAUAUAAUGGUUAACAUUACUUUACUCUGAUAUAGGAUAUAUAGGCAUCUCGCAUUAGAUACGAUGUACAAACUGUAGAAUCUUGUCCUUACAAAAAAACCCUUAGGUCUCUCCUCUCUUUCUUUCUAAGCUUUUCUGGGUUUUUUUCUUAGCAUCAUCUUUAAUCAUUCUCACUUCUAUCCUUAUUUUACUUUCUUUUCUGAGACAUUUAACUGUGUUUAUCACUGUCAUUUCAGUUGAUUAGAUGAUAUGCAGUUUGCUAGUUACUUCCUUCCCUAUAUUUGUUUCUACCUUCCCUAUCAGUCUUUUCAUAUCUUCCAGUCAUCUUUCUUUCUCUGUUAGUAUUUAUAUUUUAAAUAGCAGCCCUCAGUGAGGGUUUUGUUUUCCCCUUAACUAUCUUUUCUGUUUUUUUCAAAGAAAAGUUAGAAGGGAUUUGUAGUAGUCUUUUGCUGCAUUAACUUCUGUUUUCUAGGAUGAAUCAAUUCCGUUCCACCGACUAUAAAUCCCCUGAUAUAUUUCCUUCUGGUUUUGAGUAAUGCAUAUUUCUGUAGUCCUUAUCCUCACCAGUCACCUGGCUUAUCUUCCACUUCCAUGGAGAGUGUUGACCAAGCUAUGCCGAAAUUUAAGGUAAGAUAUUGCUUAAUCAUUGUUUAAAUGCUUCUGCCAUUCUUUUCAUGAUGUUACAUUACAGUUAAUAAGAAUUGUUUAAUAUGUGAAUCAGGAAGGCAAAACUUUACUCAUGCUUCUUCAGUUAUGGAUCAUGAGAUGUGGUCAGUUUCAAUUGCAAAUCAGUUUCUGCCAUAAUGUCCUCUCUGGGUCGCAAAUUUGAUUGUUUCUUUUUCUUCCUUCUUCAGUAACUUGUGUAACUUGUUUGGUCUGCUGAAAUAAAAUGUUUAAUGACUAUCAUCUAUCUGAUAUUUUGUAUUUGAUUUAAAUACUUAUUCACCUUAUUAAUUUAUAUUGCGUUUCAUUGAAAGCUCUAGAAUAAUUGGCUGCAUUUUAACGAACUUUUGUAUCCGACGUUGUUAGUUAAGCUUUCACUAAGUAAAAUGUGUGGCUCCUAAUAUUGAUGGAACUUGUCUCAUGAAAUAUUUGGUAAUGAUUCGCAUAUAUCAAAUAUUUGGUGUCAUGUUUGAAACAUUCAUAAUUGUGUAUUUUCAUGCAAUUGCAACUACAUUUUAGGCUCCUUAAUAAUUAAGUAGUUAACAUAAAUUUAUGUUCGGUAAAUCCAACUCAAUUGAUAGAAGGCCGAAGAGGCUUCAACUCCAACACCCUUCUUUUUCUUUUUACUUGAGGUGUGGGUUUUGAAAUUAAAUUUUUUAAUCAAGGUAAAAUGGGUUUGAACAAAUAAAUUGAAUUUCAACCGUUAUUAUUAAAGUAAUUUUAAUAAAAUAAAUUAUAAAUUUAUAAUAUUUGAAUUAUUUUAAAUAAUUUUUUUUUUAAAUGUUGAUUUAUUUAAUUUUAGUGUUUUGUUUUAAAUCUUAUGUUUUGUGGUGAUGUGCUUUAGUAAAUUAUGUCUUUUUCACUUUUGUUUUUGUUUUAAUUUUCCAGUGUCAGGGAUAGUUUCCGUGGUUCGCUUAAAUCAGUGAGAUUGUGGACGAAAUUUUUAGGGUUUGGAAUCGGUGAAAGAGAUCUAUUUUGCGACAGUGAAGUUUUUGUACUUUCUUGCUUGUUUCUGAUACCUUGUAUUGUGGCAUUGAGAAUUUGAGAUCUAGUUUUUUUUUUUUUUUGUGUGUGUGUGACUAUGGAGACACUUGUUGUUGUUGACCAGCAUAAGAAUCAAUACUGUAGCAGAUCUAAGUCACAAGGCCAUGGUAGAUUUGGAUCUUCACCUUCAAAACAAUUUAGAGGGAUUAACUGUAGGACUUUUCAAUCUGAUUCAGGUAUAUUACCAACUCCUUUGAAAUCUCAGAGUUUUCAUGAAACUAAAACACCAACAUCUCCUGUUACUGAAAACCCUAAUAGGAAAAAAACUAGUCC
RNAcentral lists this long non-coding RNA (3201 nucleotides) under Cicer arietinum (chickpea). RNAcentral describes it as "long non-coding RNA (CARI_LNC000937)". Lineage: Eukaryota; Viridiplantae; Streptophyta; Magnoliopsida; Fabales; Fabaceae. The record is from RNAcentral.